AUAAAGGCCAAUAAGUGCCAAUUUGACUGACUAUCUUACAACACUGACUUAUCAUUUUGAUUUUAUAAUACGUUCCAAUUCAUAUUAUAUAUUUUCAUUCUUAUUGUUUAUCCAAAGUUUCCUGGCACAUAUGGGCUUCCAUAUUCAGUGGGACAACCUGAAAACUGGUUUUUCUUUUCACCCCAACAAAAACAAAGGCUGCCAGACAAGAAUACACACCCUGUCUCUGCACGUGGGAAGCUCACAGCUCUUUGACACAGCAAGUAUAGAAACAGAGGAGAAAAUUACCUGCUGUUUUCUCUGUAAUGUCAGAUCUGAUCUUAUUAUUAUGGGUCAGUCAGAUCUGUAUAUUAAUAUGACGCAACGUAGAAGAGUUUGUUCAGAAAUAAUUUGAGACUUUGCAGUCUAACCUCUCAGUUUAGGAGGUUUUCUAUUUCAAGACCAUAAUUUGCUGUGAGUAAGAAACCCGGAAAUAGUGAGACGUGUGAUGGAGGGGCUGGACUCAUGUGUGAAUGUGUGUGUGUGCGUGUUUAGAAAGAGCGAGAGAGAGUCGGCGAGCUUGAGAAGUCUUCAUCCGACACAUAAAACCUGCCAUCUGAUUUAUUUAACUCCUGUGGGAAUAUUGAUCCGUAUUGAUCAAUAAGGUCACUUCGUUUCUGUGGAAACUUAUUCUGCAGCAUCAUCCUCACGGAGACGCGGGCUACCUCUUUUAUUUGAGGGAUAAGAUGAUAAUAACGCAACUAAAAACUACGACGUUCAUUCAUAAGUGGUGACAGCUCGUCUUAAAACACGGAUGUAUGCGACACACCAGGCGGAGAGAGAAAGAAAGCCGAGCAGGACGAUCUUUGGGAGGAAUUAAACUUGUUUAACACGAACAAUGAUCCGGGUUUCCGAUGUAAGGCGCUGAAACCAACGACAUUUAAUUUUGUUUGCAGUGAGGGCUCAGAUUUGAACAAAUCUUCGCAACCAAACGCAGGGAUGACAGUGAAGCUUGACUUUGAGGAGAGUUUGAAGGACUCUCCACGCUUCAGAGCUGCCAUUGAAGUCGUCCAAAAUGAUGUGAGUGAGCUUGAGACUCGAUUGGACAAGCUUGUGAAACAAUGCCAGGCCAUGCUGGAUGCAGGCAGAGUCUACUGUCAGACCAGUAAGAGCUUUGUCAAUGGCCUCCGAGAGCUGGGUCACCAGUGCUCCAGGGACAAGAUGAUGGAGGGUUGCUUGGACAGAUUUUCUAAAAAACUGUCUGUCAUCUUGGAAGCACAGGGGGAAGUGAUUGAGAUCACACAGAAGUCCGUCAAGACAAAGCUGCAGAACUUCGUGAAGGAAGAUGUUCGUCGGUUCAAGGAUGUGCGUAAAGAGUUUGAGCGCAGCAGCGAAACCCUGGAAGGGGCUCUGGCCAGGAAUGCUCAGGCUCCACGGGGGAAACUGCACGAAGUAGAAGAGGCAAGCAAUGCUCUGCUUAAUGCACGCAAGGCCUUUCGAUCUGAGGCCUUGGACUAUGUUCUAGAGAUUAACGUCAUUGAGGCCAAGAAGAAGACAGACAUUCUGAUGGCAAUGUUGUCGCUGAUGGAGGCCCAAUCACAGUUCUUCCAACAAGGCCACCAGUCUCUAUCGGAGUUAGAGGAAUAUCGACAAAACCUCAAUAAAGAGCACACACAGUUUGUCCUAGAUGCUGCCAGAGAGAAGAGGGACAUGGAGCAAAAACAUGCAGAGAUCAAGAAAAAGGACAUGUCCUUCGAUGACUCCAUUAUGGAUUUUAAUGCUGAUGCAGCUAAUGGGAUUGCAAUGGAGGGUUACCUCUAUAAAAGGGCCAGCAACGCUUUCAAGACCUGGAGCAGACGUUGGUUUUCAAUACAGAAAAAUCAGCUGGUGUAUCAGAAGAAGUUCAAGGACCUGCCCACAGUUGUGGUGGAGGACUUGCGUCUCUGCACAGUCAAGCCCAGCUCUGAAAAUGAGAGGCGAUUUCUCUUUGAAGUGGUGUCCCCAUCUAAGUGCUGUUUGUUGCAAGCGGACUCAGAACGGCAGCAGCAAGCAUGGAUCAGUGCUGUCCAGAACAGCAUCGCUUCAGCCUUUCAGGAGCACAGAGAGGAUGCACAUAGCCCUAGGCAACGCUGCAGCUCUGUGUCAGCCAACAGUAUACUGGGAGGAGGGGUCGGAGGAGCCACAGAUCAAGAAAAUAAGGUUUGCAAGGCACUGGAGGAGGUUCAGGCAAUCCCAGGGAACCGGCAGUGCUGCGAUUGUGGAGAGCCCGGUCCUGAUUGGGCCUCAAUCAACCUGGGCAUCACACUGUGCAUCGUCUGCUCUGGAAUACACAGGAGCCUGGGAGUUCAUUUCUCCAAAGUACGCUCCCUCACUCUUGACUCCUGGGAGCCAGAGCUCAUUAAGCUGAUGUGUGAGCUGGGAAACACAGUAAUCAAUAGGAUCUACGAGGCUCGGAUUGAUGAGAUCACCAUUAAGAAGCCCCACCCCUCCAGUCCCAGAGGAGACAAGGAGUCAUGGAUUCGAUCGAAAUACGUUGAAAAGAAAUUCAUCCAAAAACUGCCAGAAGCCGGCAGGAACCCUCCGCUGAGGCGAUCCAGUGCCAAGAGAAACAGAGCGACCACACAGGAUCGAACCACAGAGCGACCGGCGAUCAAACCUAAACCAAACCGAGCCACGCUGCCUCGUGUCACAGGGUUAAGCCCCAAAGAUAUUGUCCAAAUAAACAAUACAGGCUUUCACAAAGAUGUGGAGGAGGAAGAGGAGGAUCUUAGCGGUCUUCAUCCUGGGGCCCUACUGUAUCGCUCCGCAGCUCUGCAGAAUUUCCCCGUCAUGGCCGACGCUCUGGCCCACGGAGCUGAUGUCAACUGGGUCAACUUGGCCGAAGACUCGAGCACACCCCUGAUACAAGCUGUCUCUGUGAACGCCCUGGCAGCCUGCGAGUUCCUGCUGCAGAACGGCGCCAACGUCAACCAGGCAGACAGCAACGGGAGAAGGCCACUGCACCAUGCCACCAUUCUCGGUCACACAGGGUUGGUUUGUCUCUUCUUGAAGCGAGGCGCUGACUACAACGCCCUUGACAAGAACCAAAAAGACCCCAUAACCAUUGCCGUGGAGAAUGCAAAUGCUGACAUCGUCACUUUGUUGCGGAUUGCCAAAAUGAAUAAAGAGAUGCGGGAGAUGGACGGAGCGUUCGGCCAAUCAGGUCAUUCAGAGGGGCAGGGAUCUGGGGGGUCACUGAGUGGGACAGGAGUUGGGCUGGCCAACACCAGAAAGAGUCUGCAGGCUAUAAAGAACCAUAUAAGUGGUUGGGCUUUGGGGGGGUUACAUGACUAGCAGGACUAAGAUAACAUCUCAAGACAAGGACCACCAGUUAUCAGAUAAAAAAAGAAGAAAAAGAAUCCAGUUCUUGUUAAUCAAGAAGUUAGAACACCGGGUAUGAUGAGUUUAGAGGCUGGAACGCAGGCGAAACAAACUUAUUGAUGGCUGAUAAAAAAAUAACCCUUCAACAAAGAAAGUCAACAUGCACUUUGUGCUGUACAGGCACAGCAUCCUGCACUUUGAAACCUACAAGCUACUCAAAUACAAUGUCACUAGAGGUCAACAUGUGAGUGCUGUCAAUCUGUUAUUGGGCUUUGUCAGGCCUGUUUAUAGUAUAUUUUGGAUAUUUUUAUAUCCAGUGUGCACACUGCUUUGACACGAUCAGAUGUUAUAUAUCUUUUUAUGUAGCAGGUUGUCAUUCCAGUUUUGUAAGCUAAACUUAGUGGCUUUUGUUCAACCACUAUUCUGUGAAUAGUGAGCCAGUUUGAGCUUUCUCAUUCUUCUAUAUGAUGUGUUUUUAUUUAUAAGAAUUUCAUACCAGGUCCUAAAGAUCUGUAGUCGUCAAUCUUAAGGUCAACAGUGGGUUUUGUAUUAUUUUUUCAUUUGGCUUUGUUCUUUUUUAAGCUGCAGAGUCCAUUCUUUCAUGAUUGAUCUGGGUGUUGUUAACUCUCUUUGACUCUAGUAUCUGAUGGGAGCUUUUUCAGUCAUGAAGGAAUGGAAGCAUGGUGUGUUUGUCUGCUUGAAAAAAACUGCUGGUCAGUAUUUGACAUGCUGUGCUUUUUCAUUGUUUGUCUUUGUUGUGUGCACUCGUGUGCCUUUGCCCUUUGCCCACUGAGAUGUCCAUCUGGCUUCAACUGCUUGUGCAGUGUGCCACCUACAGCAAAUUAAGAGGUGACGAAACCUACCAUGACAUUUUCAGAGACUUUUCACAUAUGGCUUCAAACAACCCAGAGAAGCUCAAACGCCGCAGUGCAGAUCCCAAAAGUUAACCAGCUGCUGCCUCCACCCCAUCUGCACCCAUCUGUGCACAUUUUACCACUUCAGCCUCAUGUAUUAUUACACACAUACAGAAAAUAUUCAGCUCUCAGGCAUGCAAGCACACACAUUUCCCCCCUGGCUACUUGCCACGUGUUCAGUCGCAGCUCAGCUGGUGCUGACUUCAGAGGGGAUAAACGCUCCAAACAGUGAAUUCUUUGUGUGGGAACGUCAGCGCAGAACAAUUGUGUCCAAGUGGAAACGCUGGAACCACUUUAUGAGUACAGCAUGAGGUGUCUUAAUGUCUCAGGGGGAAACACCAUCACUCUGCCAACAGUUGCUAAUUAAAACCAGUGAACCUGUUUUUUUCUUUUUAACUGAAAAAGGUUUCAUGUUCUGCUUUUUUCUGACAUUUUACAUGAAAAUACAGCAAAGAAAUUUGUUGCAAUUUGAUGCAAAAAGCUCCAAUAUCUUAUCAAAAUGCAAUGUUUUGGGAUUUUGAGAUGACAAUGUUUAUGUAUAUUUUAUCUACAAUUUGAAAGGUACUUAAAGCUUGAGUUAAGAUCAAAUAAACCACAGAACAAACUUA
Melanotaenia boesemani (Boeseman's rainbowfish) is the source of this 4861-nucleotide RNA transcript. It is a transcript of the gene named ArfGAP with coiled-coil, ankyrin repeat and PH domains 1, with no coding region annotated. Lineage: Eukaryota; Metazoa; Chordata; Actinopteri; Atheriniformes; Melanotaeniidae. The transcript is spliced from 23 exons. The record is from RefSeq and is a predicted model, not a curated record.